RNAcentral lists this ribosomal RNA (429 nucleotides) under Gemmatimonadota bacterium. RNAcentral describes it as "Gemmatimonadetes bacterium partial 16S ribosomal RNA". It matches the Rfam family "Bacterial small subunit ribosomal RNA", at positions 355 to 776 of the family's 1533-position model. Lineage: Bacteria; Pseudomonadati; Gemmatimonadota. The record is from RNAcentral.
UAGGGAAUCUUCUGCAAUGGACGAAAGUCUGACCGAGCAACGCCGCGCGAGUGAAGAAGGUUUUCGGAUCGUAAAACUCUGUUGUUAGAGAAGAACAAGGACGUUAGUAACUGAACGUCCCCUGACGGUAUCUAACCAGAAAGCCACGGCUAACUACGUGCCAGCAGCCGCGGUAAUACGUAGGUGGCAAGCGUUGUACGGAUUUAUUGGGCGUAAAGCGAGCGCAGGCGGUUUCUUAAGUCGGAUGUGAAAGCCCCCGGCUCAACCGGGGAGGGUCAUUGGAAACUGGGAGACUUGAGUGCAGAAGAGGAGAGUGGAAUUCCAUGUGUAGCGGUGAAAUGCGUAGGUAUAUGGAGGAACACGAGUGGCGAAGGCGGCUCUCUGGUCUGUAACUGACGGUGAGGAUCGAAAGCGUGGGGAGCAAACAGG